AUCGCUUCUCGGCCUUUUGGCUAAGAUCAAGUGUAGUAACAGAUGUGGUUCACCUGCAACAUAUGGCUGAGUGUACUUUCUUUAACUUUGAGCAUUUGUGAUAGAUCUAUAUUGUUUGCAUACAGCAUUCACAGGAUUUGGCAUAGAUAUACCUUAUAAAGGCCAAAAAAGCCUAA
This 176-nucleotide small nuclear RNA is filed under the name Xenopus laevis (African clawed frog). RNAcentral's name for it is "U2 spliceosomal RNA". It matches the Rfam family "U2 spliceosomal RNA". From Rfam's summary of the family: U2 is a small nuclear RNA (snRNA) component of the spliceosome (involved in pre-mRNA splicing). Complementary binding between U2 snRNA (in an area lying towards the 5' end but 3' to hairpin I) and the branchpoint sequence (BPS) of the intron results the bulging out of an unpaired adenosine, on the BPS, which initiates a nucleophilic attack at the intronic 5' splice site, thus starting the first of two transesterification reactions that mediate splicing. Lineage: Eukaryota; Metazoa; Chordata; Amphibia; Anura; Pipidae. The record is from Rfam by way of RNAcentral.